ACGGAAGGCAGCAGUGGGGAAUAUUGCGCAAUGGGGGAAACCCUGAUGCAGCGACGCCGCGUGAGUGAAGAAGUAUUUCGGUAUGUAAAGCUCUAUCAGCAGGAAAGAAAAUGACGGUACCUGACUAAGAAGCCCCGGCUAACUACGUGCCAGCAGCCGCGGUAAUACGUAGGGGGCAAGCGUUAUCCGGAUUUACUGGGUGUAAAGGGAGCGUAGACGGCUUUGCAAGUCUGAAGUGAAAGCCCGGGGCUCAACCCCGGAACUGCUUUGGAAACUGUAGAGCUAGAGUGCAGGAGAGGUAAGUGGAAUUCCUAGUGUAGCGGUGAAAUGCGUAGAUAUUAGGAGGAACACCAGUGGCGAAGGCGGCUUACUGGACUGUAACUGACGUUGAGGCUCGAAGGCGUGGGGAGCAAACAGGAUUAGAUACCCUGGUA
This 434-nucleotide ribosomal RNA is filed under the name uncultured Lachnospiraceae bacterium. RNAcentral describes it as "partial 16S ribosomal RNA". It matches the Rfam family "Bacterial small subunit ribosomal RNA", at positions 341 to 792 of the family's 1533-position model. The record is from RNAcentral. Lineage: Bacteria; Bacillati; Bacillota; Clostridia; Lachnospirales; Lachnospiraceae.